AUUUUGAGCCAUACCACCCUGACGGUGCCCGAUCUCGUCUGAUCUCGGAAGCUAAACAGGGUCGAGCCUGGUUAGUACUUGGAUGGGAAUGUAUUCCUGUAAGGUUUUUUUU
Molecule: non-coding RNA, 112 nt
Organism: Cricetulus griseus (Chinese hamster)
Lineage: Eukaryota; Metazoa; Chordata; Mammalia; Rodentia; Cricetidae
Source: Rfam